GUAAGAGUUUCUAAGGGCUCGUCGCUGCCGUGGCCGGCGAGGCGCCGCGGUGGCGAGACCACAAGCUUCGUCUACGCACGUAGGAGCGGUAUCGGAGUCAUUCUCGGACCGGGGUUCGAUUCCCCGCGCCUCCAUCU
Molecule: transfer-messenger RNA, 137 nt
Filed under: Gemmatimonadota bacterium
Lineage: Bacteria; Pseudomonadati; Gemmatimonadota
Description: Gemmatimonadetes bacterium partial transfer-messenger RNA
Rfam family: transfer-messenger RNA
About the family: Bacterial tmRNA, also known as 10Sa RNA or SsrA, is named for its dual tRNA and mRNA-like properties. Its role is to liberate the mRNA from a stalled ribosome.
Source: RNAcentral